Molecule: long non-coding RNA, 1568 nt
Organism: Austrofundulus limnaeus
Lineage: Eukaryota; Metazoa; Chordata; Actinopteri; Cyprinodontiformes; Rivulidae
Exons: 3
Source: RefSeq, a predicted model, not a curated record
UCUUGGACCACGUAUUUCUGUCUUUGUUAAAUAAAUAUUGCCAUAACAACAACAUACUGAUUUUUAAACAUAGAUUCACACAAUAGAUUUAAACCAUCUUGAAUUUUUUUUUUUUUACAAAAGAUAAAUGUUAAUAAUGUUUGCCGUUGGCAGUGUGGUGGGGUGGUCAUGGGCAUGCUUCUCUGCGGCUGGGGGCUGGCUGCGCGUCCUGGUGCGGCCCGGGCUGGGCCUUGGCUAUCUGCUCCUCUCCACCUCAGAAUGAUUGGGUCUACCUCCUGGGUUCGGGUGUGUGCUGCCUACAAUAGAUACAAUACAAUAUUCAUCUGAGGCUGUCAGCGGCUGGAGUGGACCCCUCCGUCUCCCUCGUCGUCUGCUGCGGCUGCUUGCUGCUCUCUGGACCCGUCUCCUCUGCCCACACCUGGUGGCUUCUCCUCUGGGUUGAUGAAAAUCAGAGACCAUCUUGCCUGUAAGCUGCUGGAUGUUAAAACCCUCUUCAGCUGACACUUAAAUGAAGAAAAGUGGACAUCUUCAGCUUUGGACAAGGUUUAUUCAGCGAGAGAGAUGGAACAUGGGUCCACAAAGCCUGAUGUUAAGCUGGACUCUCCACCCAGUGCGCGCGUCCGCUCUGAAGCGCGUCCACAAUUCUUAAAGAGACAGUACAUGAAAAUACACCACAGGGUUGGACAACAUUCAAAUGUUCACCAUCUUCCUCGCUCUGUUUGUCAAGCUACAGGGUCUCUACAGCCAGUGUCAAAUGCACAUUUUGCCAUUUUUUGGCCGUGGUGUUGAGGUGUAUUAAUCGUCGGGGUGACGAUGCAACAUUGGGGGGUAGAAUGUGGUGAGAUGGUGUGUAGUUUUUGUCACUUGGUACACCAGGUGUUGCCAAGUGUGCAGCACUGAUUGAGGGGCGUGGCAGGCUGCUUUAUAUUUAGGCAGGUUGCAGCUCCUGCGUGAAAAAAACUUUGUUCUUCCUGCGGCGUGUCAGCUUUUUGCCUGGCUGUGUUGUCGCUGCUGCUCAUCAAACUUGGCACUACUGUUGGUUGGUGUUGCCGGCUGCAGUCGGGAUUGUUUGUGGCGCAUGGCUUCCUCCUGCUGUCGUCCUGCUGAUCUGCUCUCUCCCCUGGGCGCUGUGCUUCCAUCUUCUGGCGCGUGCUGUGUAUCGCCAUGCGUAAAUGUUUGACGUGCAGUGACGCUCUGAUGACUGCGCUGCUGUCUUGUCUUACCGGUUCCUGUUUGGAUUCAUAGAAGCGACCAGCUCACUUCAUCACUAAUACUGCUGAUUCGACAGCCAAAGGGAUUGAAAAGUAUUCGGUUCACUUCAGUGGUAAUCGAGUGAGCUUUCACCAUUUUCUUUUAUAAUUUAUUGUUUGAUUCUGAUUUAUUUCAUUGUGCUUUUUUGUAUUUUUAUUUAACCAAUUUUGUUUUAUUUAUUUAACAUUUCAGGAUCUUUUCUUUUUGCUAAAUAGAUUGGUGAUUGAGCUUCAUGCACAUUUUUCUUCCCUUAGGGAUCAAGUGAUAUUUUAUAGUGGUUUUAAAGGCACAGUGUGUAGGAUUUUGUUAAUUCUUUU